Molecule: ribosomal RNA, 253 nt
Filed under: uncultured bacterium
Lineage: Bacteria
Description: partial 16S ribosomal RNA
Rfam family: Bacterial small subunit ribosomal RNA
Source: RNAcentral
GACAGGGGGCUCGAGCGUUAAUCGGAAUCACUGGGCUUAAAGGGUGCGUAGGCGGACCAGUAAGCGUCCCGUGAAAUCCCCCGGCUCAACCGGGGAACUGCGGGGCGAACUGCUGGUCUAGAGGAAGCUAGAGGCGGGUAGAACGAUAGGUGGAGCGGUGGAAUGCGUAGAUAUCUGGAGGAACACCGGUGGCGAAGGCGGCGUUCUGGACUGCAACUGACACUGAAAAACGAAAGCCAGGGGAGCAAACGGG